GAUGAAGAACGUAGCGAAAUGCGAUAAGUAAUGUGAAUUGCAGAAUUCAGAGAAUCAUCGAAUCUUUGAACGCACAUUGCGCCCGCCAGCACUCUGGCGGGCAUGCCUGUUCGAGCGUCAUUUCAACCAUCAAGCCCCCAGGGGCUUGUGCUGGGGCCCUGCGGCUGCCCGCAGGCCCUGAAAACCAGUGGCGGGCUCGCUAGUCACACCGAGCGCAGUAGCACAUCUCGCUCAGGGCGUGCGGCGGGCUCCUGCCGUGAAACCCCCCACUGUAACCCCAAAGGUUGACCUCGGAUCAGGUAGGAAUACCCGCUGAACUUAAGCAUAUCAAUAAGCGGAGGA
RNAcentral lists this unclassified non-coding RNA (342 nucleotides) under soil metagenome. Its description in RNAcentral is "partial contains 5.8S ribosomal RNA, internal transcribed spacer 2, and large subunit ribosomal RNA". The stretch from base 1 to 120 matches the Rfam family "5.8S ribosomal RNA", at positions 35 to 154 of the family's 154-position model. The record is from RNAcentral.